Molecule: ribosomal RNA, 501 nt
Filed under: uncultured bacterium
Lineage: Bacteria
Description: partial 16S ribosomal RNA
Rfam family: Bacterial small subunit ribosomal RNA
Source: RNAcentral
AUUGAACGCUGGCGGCAGGCUUAACACAUGCAAGUCGAGCGGGGGAAGGUAGCUUGCUACUGGACCUAGCGGCGGACGGGUGAGUAAUGCUUAGGAAUCUGCCUAUUAGUGGGGGACAACAUCUCGAAAGGGAUGCUAAUACCGCAUACGUCCUACGGGAGAAAGCAGGGGAUCUUCGGACCUUGCGCUAAUAGAUGAGCCUAAGGCGGGUUAGCUAGUGGGGGGGGUAAAGGCCUACCAAGGCGACGAGCUGUAGCGGGUCUGAGAGGAUGAUCAGGCACACUGGGACUGAGACACGGCCCAGACACCUACGGGAGGCAGCAGUGGGGAAUAUUGGAAAAUGGGGGGAACCCUGAUCCAGCCAUGCCGCGUGUGUGAAGAAGGCCUUAUGGUUGUAAAGCACUUUAAGCGAGGAGGAGGCUACUUUAGUUAAUACCUAGAGAUAGUGGACGUUACUCGCAGAAUAAGCACCGGCUAACUCUGUGCCAGCCGCCGCAGUAA